This 253-nucleotide ribosomal RNA is filed under the name uncultured bacterium. RNAcentral's name for it is "partial 16S ribosomal RNA". It matches the Rfam family "Bacterial small subunit ribosomal RNA", at positions 524 to 776 of the family's 1533-position model. The record is from RNAcentral.
UACAGAGACUGCAAGCGUUAUUCGGAUUCACUGGGCGUAAAGGGUGCGCAGGCGGUUGGGUGUGUCAGAUGUGAAAUCCCGAGGCUUAACCUCGGAACUGCGUCUGAAACUACUCGACUAGAGUAUUGGAGAGGGUAACGGAAUUCACGGUGUAGCAGUGAAAUGCGUAGAUAUCGUGAGGAACACCAGAGGCGAAGGCGGUUACCUGGACAAUUACUGACGCUCAGGCACGAAAGCAUGGGGAGCAAACGGG